This 292-nucleotide ribosomal RNA is filed under the name uncultured bacterium. RNAcentral's name for it is "partial 16S ribosomal RNA". It matches the Rfam family "Bacterial small subunit ribosomal RNA", at positions 505 to 796 of the family's 1533-position model. The record is from RNAcentral.
GUGUCAGCCGCCGCGGUAAUACAGAGGGUGCGAGCGUUGUCCGGAAUCACUGGGCGUAAAGGGCGCGUAGGCGGCCUGGUAAGUAGGGGGUGAAAUCUUGCGGCUCAACUGCAAGGCUGCCUCCUAAACUGUCAGGCUUGAGCACAGUAGAGGCAGGUGGAAUUCCCGGUGUAGCGGUGGAAUGCGUAGAGAUCGGGAAGAACAUCGGUGGCGAAGGCGGCCUGCUGGGCUGUUGCUGACGCUGAGGCGCGACAGCGUGGGGAGCAAACAGGAUUAGAAACCCUUGUAGUCC